GAUGAACGCUGGCGGCGUGCCUAAUACAUGCAAGUCGAGCGAACAGACGAGGAGCUUGCUCCUCUGACGUUAGCGGCGGACGGGUGAGUAACACGUGGAUAACCUACCUAUAAGACUGGGAUAACUUCGGGAAACCGGAGCUAAUACCGGAUAAUAUAUUGAACCGCAUGGUUCAAUAGUGAAAGACGGUUUUGCUGUCACUUAUAGAUGGAUCCGCGCCGCAUUAGCUAGUUGGUAAGGUAACGGCUUACCAAGGCAACGAUGCGUAGCCGACCUGAGAGGGUGAGCGCCAACCGGAGAACUGAACCACGCACAGGCCCCACGCGGGAGGCACGAGGAGGGAAUCGUCCGAAAGGGGGAAAAGCCGAACGGAGCAGCGCCGCGGGAGUGAUGAGUGUCUGCGUAUCUAAAAACUUUGUUAUGGGGAAAAAACAAAUGUGUAAGUAACGAGGCCCGUCUUGACGGUACAUAAUAAGAAAGCCACGUCAAACUCCGUC
This 497-nucleotide ribosomal RNA is filed under the name uncultured bacterium. RNAcentral's name for it is "partial 16S ribosomal RNA". It matches the Rfam family "Bacterial small subunit ribosomal RNA", at positions 28 to 507 of the family's 1533-position model. The record is from RNAcentral.